AUCCAUAAACAGAAACUAGAAAUACAGCAUUUCAACCCAAAUCUAGGCCCAACAUAAGAAAAGAAACCCUAGGAGAAUGAGAAAGACCUGAAAUCAACUCCUACCCAUUUCUUGCAUGCUUCAACCAUGUUGGCUACCAAGAGGACGAUAAAUUUUCAACCUAAACAUCAUGGCACCCUACGAGUACUAGUGAGCUAGAUAGGAAAGUGAUGAAAAGCCUUAGAAAAGAAGCAGGCGCAUGGACUUUGAACUUUUGCUAGACAUGCCAGGAGAGAGGCUUGGUGAUGCGAGCUACUAGAUCUUGCCUCGAAGGAAGGCACUACCAUGAUGGUGAAACCUUCCAAUCACCAAUCGAUCAAGCUUUAGAAGCUUCUGAUAUAUAAGUAAGAGGAGAGGACUGCAGC
Molecule: long non-coding RNA, 404 nt
Filed under: Manihot esculenta (cassava)
Lineage: Eukaryota; Viridiplantae; Streptophyta; Magnoliopsida; Malpighiales; Euphorbiaceae
Description: long non-coding RNA (MESC_LNC012051)
Source: RNAcentral